RNAcentral lists this ribosomal RNA (635 nucleotides) under uncultured marine eukaryote. Its description in RNAcentral is "SSU rRNA". It matches the Rfam family "Eukaryotic small subunit ribosomal RNA", at positions 619 to 1245 of the family's 1831-position model. The record is from RNAcentral.
UUAAAAAGCUCGUAGUUGGAUUUCGGAGUGGGCCAGUUGGUCCGCCGCAAGGUGUGUUACUGACUGGUUUGCUCUUCUUCGCAAAGACUGCGUGUGCUCUUGAGUGAGUGUGCGUAGGAUUUACGACGUUUACUUUGAAAAAAUUAGAGUGUUCAAAGCAGGCUAUUGCUUGAAUACAUGAGCACGGAAUAAUGGAAUAGGACUUUGGUCCCAUUUUGUUGGUUUCUAGGGCCGAAGUAAUGAUUAAGAGGGACAAUUGGGGGCAUCCGUAUUGGGGUGUGGUGCAGAGGUGGGGGUGGCUUGGGAUUUUACCGAAAAGAACGAACCAACCUGCCGAAAAGCACUUGCCCAAGAGUGUUUUCAUUAAUCAAGACCGAAAGUUAGAGGAUCGAAGACGAUCAGAUACCGUCCUAGUUCUAACCAUAAACGAUGUCGACUAGGGAUCAGCGGGCGUUAUCGUACGACCCCGUUGGCACCUUACGGGAAACCAAAGUUUUUGGAUUCCGGGGGAAGUAUGGUUGCAAAGCUGAAACUUAAAGGAAUUGACGGAAGGGCACCACCAGGAGUGGAGCCUGUGGCUCAAUUUGACUCAACACGGGAAAACUUACCAGGUCCAGACAUAGUAAGGAUUGACA